GUAAGUGGUAGAGUAGCCUUGCUGCUACGAUCCACUGAGAUUCGGCCUCACCGUCCCAACGAUUUGU
RNAcentral lists this ribosomal RNA (67 nucleotides) under Fabronia ciliaris. RNAcentral describes it as "partial 26S ribosomal RNA". Lineage: Eukaryota; Viridiplantae; Streptophyta; Bryopsida; Hypnales; Fabroniaceae. The record is from RNAcentral. RNAcentral also lists the same sequence under 5 other names.